Molecule: ribosomal RNA, 427 nt
Filed under: alpha proteobacterium 1306
Lineage: Bacteria; Pseudomonadati; Pseudomonadota; Alphaproteobacteria
Description: bacterial SSU rRNA
Rfam family: Bacterial small subunit ribosomal RNA
Source: RNAcentral
CUGAGUUUGAUCCUGGCUCAGAACGAACGCUGGCGGCAGGCCUAACACAUGCAAGUCGAACGGAUCCUUCGGGAUUAGUGGCAGACGGGUGAGUAACGCGUGGGAAGCUACCUUGUGGUAGGGGACAACAGUUGGAAACGACUGCUAAUACCCUAUGAGCCCUAUGGGGGAAAGAUUUAUCGCCAUGAGAUGUGCCCGCGUUAGAUUAGCUAGUUGGUAAGGUAAUGGCUUACCAAGGCGACGAUCUAUAGCUGGUCUGAGAGGAUGAUCAGCCACACUGGGACUGAGACACGGCCCAGACUCCUACGGGAGGCAGCAGUGGGGAAUAUUGGACAAUGGGGGCAACCCUGAUCCAUGCCAUGCCGCGUGUGUGAUGACGGCCUUAGGGUUGUAAAGCACUUUCAGCAGUGAAGAUAAUGACAUUAAC